This 526-nucleotide ribosomal RNA is filed under the name uncultured bacterium. RNAcentral describes it as "bacterial SSU rRNA". It matches the Rfam family "Bacterial small subunit ribosomal RNA", at positions 355 to 899 of the family's 1533-position model. The record is from RNAcentral.
UGGGGAAUCUUGGACAAUGGGGGCAACCCUGAUCCAGCCAUGCCGCGUGAGUGAUGAAGGUCUUAGGAUUGUAAAGCGCUUUCAGCGGGGGAAGAUGAUGACGGUACCCGCAGAAGAAGCCCCGGCUAACUCCGUGCCAGCAGCCGCGGUAAUACGGAGGGGGCUAGCGUUGUUCGGAAUUACUGGGCGUAAAGGGCGUGUAGGCGGCCAAUUAAGUCAGAGGUGAAAUCCCCGAGCUCAACUUGGGAACUGCCUUUGAUACUGGUUGGCUAGAGUUCGGGAGAGGGUAGUGGAAUUCCCAGUGUAGAGGUGAAAUUCGUAGAUAUUGGGAAGAACACCAGUGGCGAAGGCGGCUACCUGGACCGAUACUGACGCUGAGGCGCGAAAGCGUGGGGAGCAAACAGGAUUAGAUACCCUGGUAGUCCACACCGUAAACGAUGAAUGCCAGUCGUCGGGUAGCAUGCUAUUCGGUGACACACCUAACGGAUUAAGCAUUCCGCCUGGGGAGUACGGUCGCAGAUUAAAA